UACAGAGGUCUCAAGCGUUAAUCGGAAUCACUGGGCUUAAAGGGUGCGUAGGCUGUCUCGCAAGUGCCUUGUGAAAUCCCAUGGCUCAACCAUGGAAUUGCUCGGUAGACUGCGGGGCUUGAGGUCGGUAGAGGUCGCUGGAACUCUAGGUGGAGCGGUGAAAUGCGUAGAUAUCUAGAGGAACGCCAAUGGUGAAGACAGGCGACUGGGCCGAUUCUGACGCUGAGGCACGAAAGCGUGGGUAGCAAACGGG
This 253-nucleotide ribosomal RNA is filed under the name uncultured bacterium. Its description in RNAcentral is "partial 16S ribosomal RNA". It matches the Rfam family "Bacterial small subunit ribosomal RNA", at positions 524 to 776 of the family's 1533-position model. The record is from RNAcentral.